Molecule: transfer RNA, 73 nt
Filed under: Labilithrix sp.
Lineage: Bacteria; Pseudomonadati; Myxococcota; Polyangiales; Labilitrichaceae
Description: tRNA-Arg
Rfam family: tRNA
About the family: Transfer RNA (tRNA) molecules are approximately 80 nucleotides in length. Their secondary structure includes four short double-helical elements and three loops (D, anti-codon, and T loops).
Source: RNAcentral
GUCCUCGUGGCCGAACGGAGAGGCGCCGGUCUUCUAAACCGGGUGAACGCAGGUUCGACUCCUGCCGAGGACU